GUCCAGGGAUGGCUACCGAACCCACAGUGUUCUGCUUACCGGCAGAUGCCAUGUCCACUAGGCUACCCUGGA
Molecule: transfer RNA, 72 nt
Filed under: Cordylochernes scorpioides
Lineage: Eukaryota; Metazoa; Arthropoda; Arachnida; Pseudoscorpiones; Chernetidae
Description: tRNA-OTHER
Source: RNAcentral